UGCAGUGCAUGCGGAAAUGUGGCAAACACGACUGGAAUUCUUCCCUGCGCGCAUUUUAUGUGCAAGGCUUGCUACCAGCAGUGCGCUGUUCCGGGGGGCACAUGUGUCCACUGGACGAUGAGCGAUGUACAGAAGAUGACGUCGACUGGAAGACUUUCCUGCUGAGAAUGUGAUGAAGAGACAGAUGCCGAUGCUGCAACCUACUUAGCUCUCCUGCCUCCAAACGUCCAGUCACCCAAAGGAGAGUUUGUCUGGCAUGAGUGCACGAUUACCCCGUGGGACAAGUAAAAGAAAAAAAACCUUAAUGCACUGAACUACCUCUGAUGUUGUAUAGUCAUAUAGCCCGGCACUUUCUGGCCUCUCAAGAACAAAGCCAGUAAAAGCGUGCACACGGAUUACUGUUAGUACCGAGAGAAAAA
Dermacentor silvarum is the source of this 419-nucleotide long non-coding RNA. RefSeq lists it as uncharacterized. The transcript has 2 exons. Lineage: Eukaryota; Metazoa; Arthropoda; Arachnida; Ixodida; Ixodidae. The record is from RefSeq and is a predicted model, not a curated record.